This 1762-nucleotide ribosomal RNA is filed under the name uncultured soil eukaryote. Its description in RNAcentral is "SSU rRNA". It matches the Rfam family "Eukaryotic small subunit ribosomal RNA". The record is from RNAcentral.
ACCUGGUUGAUCCUGCCAGUAGUCAUAUGCUUGUCUAAAAGAUUAAGCCAUGCAUGUGUAAGUUUAAGUGCUUUACAGCGAAACUGCGGACGGCUCAUUAAAUCAGUUAUAGUUUAUUUGAUAAUAGAAGUUACAUGGAUAACUGCAGUAAUUCUGGAGCUAAUACAUGAACGUAGCCUUCGGGCGUCUUUGUGAGGAGAGCACAUACUCUGUUGACUCAUUACAACCUAACGGAUCGCAUGGCCUUGAGCCGGCGACGAUUCAUUCAAAUUUCUGCCCUAUCAAGUUUCGAUGGUAGUGUAGUGGACUACCAUGCUUGCAACGGGUGACGGGGAAUUAGGGUUCGAUUCCGGAGAAGGAGCCUUAAAAACGGCUACUACUUCCAAGGAAGGCAGCAGGCGCGCAAAUUACCCAAUAGUAACACACUGAGGUAGUGACAAUAAAUAACAAUACUGGUCCUUUCAAAGGACUAGUAAUUGGAAUGAGUACAAUUUAAAUCUGUUAACGAGGAACCAUUGGAGGACAAGUCAGGUGCCAGCACCCGCGGUAAUUCCUGCUCCAAUAGCAUAUACUAAAGUUGUUGCAGUUAAAAAGCUCGUAGUUGGAUCGAAGGUCGAGAUUGGGAUGGUCUGCCGGGUUGGUGUGUACUGCCCUCUCUCACCGUAAUUUGCCUUGUUGUACGCUGGUGACCUUAACUGGUCGCUUGCUAUGACUAGGUCGUGUACUUUGAAAAAAUUAGAGUGUUCAAAACAGGCAUUUGCUUGAAUAGAUUAGCAUGGGAUACUAAAAUACGACACGAAGCACUCGUGCUGGUGUUAGUGUAAUGACCAAUAGGAAUUAUUGGGGAUGUUCAUAUUUACUAGUCAGAGGUGAAAUUCUUGGAUUUAGGAAAGAUGUACUUAUGCGAAAGCAUUCAUCAAGGAUGUUUUCAUUGAUCAAGAACGAAAGUUAGGGGAUCGAAGACGAUCAGAUACCGUCGUAGUCUUAACUAUAAACGAUACCGACUGAUAAUUGAAGGAUGUUUUCAAGGUGACGCCUCCAGCGAUCUAGAGAAAUUAAAGUCUUUGGGUUCUGGGGGGAGUAUGGUCGCAAGGCUGAAACUUAAAGGAAUUGACGGAAAGGCACACCAGGAGUGGAGCCUGCGGCUUAAUUUGACUCAACACGGGAAAACUCACUAGGUCCAGACAUUUGUAUGAUUGACAGAUUAAUAGCUCUUUCUUGAUUAGAUGGGUGGUGGUGCAUGGCCGUUCUUAGUUGGUGGAGUGAUUUGUCUGGUUAAUUCCGAUAACGAACGAGACUAGAUUGGGAUUGUGGGGUUUACCUCAUGGUUCCUUGGUGUGGAUCCUGGGUUAAUUGGUUUAUGCUUCUUAGAAGGACUAUCGACGGUAAGUCGAUGGAGGUUUCUAGCAAUAACAGGUCUGUGAUGCCCUUAGAUGUCCUAGGCUGCACGCGCGCUACACUGUAAGAAGAUAGAAAGUUACUUUCAUAAGUUCCUUACUCGAUAGAGUUGGGUAAUCUGCAUAUUCUUACGUGCUGGGGAUUGAUAAUUGUAAUUAUUUGUCAUCAACGAGGAAUUCCUAGUAAUCGCAGUUCACGAGACUGCGCUGAUUACGUCCCUGCCUUUUGUACACACCGCCCGUCGCUCCUACCGAUUGAAUGAUCCGGUGAGGAGCAAAGAUUUUUUUCUGAGGUGGGAAACCAACAAAGUGAAAGAGAAUUGCUUCAAACCUUAUUAUUUAGAGGAAGGAGAAGUCGUAACAAG